This 275-nucleotide ribosomal RNA is filed under the name uncultured bacterium. RNAcentral describes it as "partial 16S ribosomal RNA". It matches the Rfam family "Bacterial small subunit ribosomal RNA", at positions 79 to 353 of the family's 1533-position model. The record is from RNAcentral.
CUAAGUUUGAUGGCGACCGGCGCACGGGUGAGUAACACGUAUCCAACCUGCCGAUGACUCGGGGAUAGCCUUUCGAAAGAAAGAUUAAUACCCGAUGGCAUAGUUCUUCCGCAUGGUAGAACUAUUAAAGAAUUUCGGUCAUCGAUGGGGAUGCGUUCCAUUAGGUUGUUGGCGGGGUAACGGCCCACCAAGCCUUCGAUGGAUAGGGGUUCUGAGAGGAAGGUCCCCCACAUUGGAACUGUGACACGGUCCAAACUCCUACGGGAGGCAGCAUG